CAGAAGACGCACACAUGCGCGCGCACACAGACACGCACACGCGGCCGUGGCGUACUCAACCCUCGUAAAGGGGCGUGUGGACUGGCAGGGACUCAAACCUACGAUCGCACGGCGGCGCACGGAGAGACGGACAGGAGCAGAAGUUUGGUCACAUCCGGACUUUUCUCUUUCUGCGUUCUUCUUUCUGUCGCUUCAGUCAGUUUUUUCUGGGACUAUCUGUUUUCGCUCACGCCAUUCGGAUUUCACUUGAGUGGCAGCGACGUGAGGCGAAAACCGGGGGAGACAUCAGCGCGGAGAAGAGCCGGAUCGCGGAGAGAAGUGGCUGCGCAGCGGCUGCGCGAUUUGUGGGGAAUUUGCGUGGACAUAACUCGGCUUCGUGUGUCAUCUCCACACAGGAGGAGAAACGAUACCGGACCUCUGCUCCACGCAUGUUGGACGUGGACAGAGGAGGGCUCGAUGCCUCAAAGUCAGGACGCAGCCAAGGAUUACCUCCAGGCCGAGCAUCCCCAUAUGACGGAGUAAGCGCGCACAGGGAGCGGGUGUUCGGCUUCUGUGGAGAGGAUAUGGCACGGCCGGCGCCGGCGAGAGGCGCGCACCCGGCACAGGAGAGAGGAAACAGGAGCUGAAUGACAGGAUGCCCGCGACCUGAGAGUGCACCUCCAACUUCGUUACAAACGGACACUUCUGCUUUAUUUUGUCGAGUUCAGACGAAGAAACAAGAACAACACUAGUUUUGGAGGAGUUUAAUUUUUUUUUGUAUGCGUAACUUUAUUUAUUUUUGGCGAUAAAACAAGGAUGCAUUGUGGAUUAGUUUUGAUCCUGUUCAUGGGAAUCCUCUCGGUGGUCAAGGCUUUCAAAAACGACAAUGUGGAGGAACGUCAGAAUCACCAACGCAAACAUACCUCACGUCGCCCGGAUACC
Thalassophryne amazonica is the source of this 921-nucleotide long non-coding RNA. RefSeq lists it as uncharacterized. The record is from RefSeq and is a predicted model, not a curated record. The transcript has 3 exons. Lineage: Eukaryota; Metazoa; Chordata; Actinopteri; Batrachoidiformes; Batrachoididae.